This 867-nucleotide unclassified non-coding RNA is filed under the name Hevea brasiliensis (rubber tree). Lineage: Eukaryota; Viridiplantae; Streptophyta; Magnoliopsida; Malpighiales; Euphorbiaceae. The record is from RNAcentral.
AGAACAAAAAAUGGCUCUUUGCAGAGCUCGAAUGGCUUCAUCUUUCCUUCUUCGCAAUGUCAUCAAUCGCUCUUUCUCUACAAGUCCAUUUGAAGCAAUGAUAUCGAAAAUGAAACCAUCGAAGGAGCUUGAAUCAAUGAUGGAGCAGUUCUCAUUAGACAUCAGUUCUCAAAUCGGAAGUUGUAUGCCAUUAGGUAUGAUGCGAAUCGGAACCCUAAUUCAUAAUAUUGAGUUGCGACCUGGGCAAGGUGGGAAAUUGGUUCGUUCAGCUGGGACGUGUGCUAAGAUCCUUACGGAACCUAAUGCUUCUACGAAGUACUGUGAAGUGAAGUUACCAUCCGGUGUGAAGAAAUUGAUUGAUGUUAAAUGUAGGGCGACGAUUGGGCAAGUUUCGAACCCGGAACAUGGGACGAAGAAGUUGAGGAAGGCUGGACAAUCUAGGUGGCUUGGACGGAGACCCACUGUUCGUGGUGUGGCGAUGAAUCCGGUGGAUCAUCCACAUGGUGGUGGUGAAGGGAGGAGUAAGAGUAGUGGAAGUCAUGGGAGAGGUUCGUUGACACCUUGGGGAAAACCUACUAAGGGUGGGUAUAAAACUGGGCCGCUUAAGAGGAGAAAGUAGUUCUUUUUUUGGGUAUUUUGAUGGAUACUUAAUUGUCAAUGUUAUGUUUUCUUGAUGAAGUUUAUGGGGAGACAAUAAUUAUGAGCAAAUCAAGUCCGAAACUUGUUUAGGAAUGAUGGAGGUUUUUUCCGCAUUUUGGUUUGAUAGAAAUUGUGUAACUUCUGAUUGUUUUGAACUAAUGGUUACUCGAACGAUCAUUAGAAAAACACCUUGUAAGCUAUUGUUUUUGUAAGUUCUGAGGAUCUUAU